RNAcentral lists this ribosomal RNA (624 nucleotides) under uncultured soil bacterium. Its description in RNAcentral is "bacterial SSU rRNA". It matches the Rfam family "Bacterial small subunit ribosomal RNA", at positions 148 to 774 of the family's 1533-position model. The record is from RNAcentral.
CCUCCUAACGGAGGGAUAAUACUCGGCGUUAUGAUCGAGGGGCAUCUCUUGAUCAUGAAAUGAAUUUCGCCUCGGGAGGGGCUCACAUCGUAUUAGCUUGUUGGCGGGGUAACGGCCCACCAAGGCAAAGAUGCGUAGCGGGUGUGAGAGCACGACCCGCGCCACUGGCACUGAGACACUGGCCAGACACCUACGGGUGGCUGCAGUCGAGGAUCUUCGGCAAUGGGCGCAAGCCUGACCGAGCGACGCCGCGUGUGCGAUGAAGGCCUUCGGGUUGUAAAGCACUGUCGAGGGGGAGGAAGUCCCGGGUAACCGGGAUUGACCUAUCCCUGGAGGAAGCACGGGCUAAGUUCGUGCCAGCAGCCGCGGUAAGACGAACCGUGCGAACGUUGUUCGGAAUCACUGGGCUUAAAGGGCGCGUAGGCGGAUCAGCAAGUCCGGGGUGAAAUCUUUCGGCUUAACCGGAAAAGUGCCUUGGAUACUGCUGGUCUCGAGGGAGAUAGGGGUCAUGGGAACUUCUGGUGGAGCGGUGAAAUGCGUUGAUAUCAGAAGGAACGCCGGUGGCGAAAGCGCAUGACUGGACUCUCUCCUGACGCUGAGGCGCGAAAGCUAGGGGAGCGAACG